CCUACGGGAGGCAGCAGUGGGGAAUAUUGGGCAAUGGAGGAAACUCUGACCCAGCGACGCCGCGUGAGGGAUGAAGGCCUUCGGGUUGUAAACCUCUUUCAGUAGGGAAGAAGCGAAAGUGACGGUACCUACAGAAGAAGCACCGGCUAACUAUGUGCCAGCAGCCGCGGUAAUACAUAGGGUGCAAGCGUUGUCCGGAAUUAUUGGGCGUAAAGAGCUCGUAGGUGGUUCGAUACGUCGGAUGUGAAAAUCAGGGGCUCAACCCCUGACCUGCAUCCGAUACGGUCGAGCUAGAGUUUGGUAGGGGAGACUGGAAUUCCUGGUGUAGCGGUGGAAUGCGCAGAUAUCAGGAGGAACACCGAUGGCGAAGGCAGGUCUCUGGGCCAAUACUGACACUGAGGAGCGAAAGCGUGGGGAGCGAACAGGAUUAGAUACCCUGGUAGUCCACGCCGUAAACGGUGGGCGCUAGUUGUGCGAACCUUCCACGGUUUGUGCGACGCNGCUACGCAUAGCGCCCGCCGUCGGGAGGUACGAGCGCGAGAAGUAAACUACGAAGGUAAGUAGUUAGCGUGAGAGUGCCGACGGCGACGACGAGGGAGGAGG
This 603-nucleotide ribosomal RNA is filed under the name uncultured bacterium. RNAcentral's name for it is "bacterial SSU rRNA". The stretch from base 1 to 520 matches the Rfam family "Bacterial small subunit ribosomal RNA", at positions 338 to 873 of the family's 1533-position model. The record is from RNAcentral.